CGGCAGCUGGAAUUCUGGCUGGAAAAGGAGCAAACGUUGGAAACCUAUUCUGCACAGCUCCAAAAGUCCUGAAACUCCACGAAACAACUUUUCGGGAUUAAUAAGAAUUUCUGAGCGAAAGAAAUAUGCCAGGGGGCCCAUACCCUGUCCAGGAGACAGGGGGCGCGCCCCCCUAUAGAGCGCGUCCCCCUAUCUCCUAGGCCCCCUAGUGGGCCUCCGACGUCCAUCUUCUGCUAUAUCAUCACUUUUACCCUAGAAAAAAUUGUGGGCAAGCUUACGGGACGAAACUCCACCGCCACAAGGCGGAACCUUGGCGGAAUCAAUCUAGGGCUCCGGCAGAGCUGUUCUGCUGAGGACACUUCCCUCCGGGAGGGGGAAAUCAUCACCAAUGUCAUCACCAACGAUCCUCUCAUCUAGAGGGGGUCAAUCUCCAUCAACAUCUUCACUAGCACCAUCUCCCCUCAAAAUCCUAGUUCAUCUCUUGUAUCCAAUCUUGUAUCAAAACCACAAAUUGGUACCUGGGGGUUGCUAGUAGUGUUGAUUACUCCUUGUAGUUGAUGCUAAUUGGUUUACUUGGUGGAAGAUCAUAUGUUCAGAUCCUUUAUGCAUAUUAUUACUCCUCUGAUUAUGAACAUGAAUAUGCUUUGUGAGUAGUUACGUUUGUUCUUGAGGACAUGGGUGAAGUCUUGCUAUUUGUAGUCAUGUGAAUUUGGUAUUCGUUCGAUAUUUUGAUGAGAUGUAUGUUGUCUUUUCCUCUAGUGGUGUUAUGUGAACGUCGACUACAUGACACUUCACCAUUAUUUGGGCCUAGAGGAAGGCAUGGGGAAGUAAUAAGUAGAUGAUGGGUUGCUAGAGUGACAGAAGCUUAAACCCUAGUUUAUGCGUUGCUUCGUUAGGGGUUGAUAUGGAUCCAUAUGUUUAAUGCUGUGGUUAGGUUUACCUUAAUACUUAUUUUGUAGUUGCGGAUGCUUGCAAUAGGGGUUAAUCAUAAGUGGGAUGCUUGUCCAAGUUAGGGCAGUACCCAAGUACCAGUCCACCCACAUAUCAAAUUAUCAAAGUACCGAACCGAAUCAUAUGAACGUGAUGAAAACUAGCUUGACGAUAAUUCCCAAUGUGUCCUCGGGAGCUUCUUUCUCAUUAUUAGAAAUUGUCCAUGCUUAUCCGUUGCUACAUAAAGGAUUGGGCCACCUUGAUGCACUUUAUUUACUUUAUUUACUUGUUACUGGUUACUAUUUAUCUUAUCACAAAACUAUCCAUCACCUACAAUUUCAGUGCUUGCACAGAAAACCUUACUGAAAACCGCUUAUCAUUUCCUUUUGCUCCUCAUUGGGUUCGACACUCUUACUUAUCGAAAGGACUAUGAUAGAUCCCCUACACUUGUGGGUCAUCAAGACUCUUUUCUGGCGCUGUUGCCGGGGAGUGUAGCGCUUUUGGUGAGUGGAACUUGGUAAGGAAACAUUUAUAUAGUGUGCUGAAAUUUUCUGUUACUUGUCACUAUGGAAACUAAUCCUUUGAGGGGCUUGUUUGGGGUAUCUACACCCCAACCAGAAGAGCAAAGAGUUGCUCCUCAACCUACUGAACUUUAUGAAAAUAUUUACUUUGAGAUUCCUUCGGGUAUGAUAGAAAAACUGCUAGUUAAUCCAUUUGCAGGAGAUGGAACAUUGCAUCCCGAUUUACACCUUAUCUUUGUGGAUGAAGUUUGUGGAUUAUUUAAGCUUGCAGGUAUUCCCGAUGAUGUUGUCAAAAGGAAGGUCUUCCCUUUAUCUUUGAAGGGAGAUGCAUUGACAUGGUAUAUGCUGAUAGUGAAUGGGUAAGCCCUGUCCAUUGUGUUCCUAAAAAGGAAGGUAUUACCGUUGUUCCUAAUGAUAAAGAUGAAUUGACCCCGCAAAGAAUUAUUAUAGGUUAUAGGAUGGUAAUUGAUUUCUGUAAGUUAAAUAAAGCUACUAAGAAAGAUCAUUACCCUUUACCUUUUAUUGAUCAAAUGCUAGAAAGACUAUCCAAACACACUCGUUUCUGCUUUCUAGAUGGUUAUUCUGGUUUCUCUCAGAUACCUGUGUCAGCGAAGGAUCAAUAUAAAACUACUUUUACUUGCCCUUUUGGUACUUUUGUUUAUAGACGUAUGCCUUUUGGUUUAUGUAAUGCACCUGCUACCUUUCAAAGAUGCAUGAUGGCUAUAUUCUCUGAUUUUUGUGAAAAGAUUUGUGAGGUAUCCAUGGAUGACUUCUCAGUCUAUAGAUCCUCCUUUGAUGAUUGUUUGAGCAACCUUGAUCGAGUUUUGCAGAGAUGCGAAGACACUAGUCUCGUUCUGAAUUGGGAAAAGUGUCACUUUAUGGUUAAUGAAGGCAUUGUCUUGGGGCACAAGAUCUCCGAGAGAGGUAUUGAAGUUGAUAAAGCCAAGGUUGAUGCUAUUGAAAAGAUGCCAUGUCCCAAGGACAUAAAAGGUAUAAGAAGUUUCCUUGGUCACGCCGGUUUUUAUAGGAGGUUCAUUAAGGACUUUUCUAAAAUCUCUAGGCCUCUAACUAAUUUAUUUCAAAAAGAUAUUCCUUUUGUCUCUGAUGAUGAUUGUGUAGAAGCAUUUGAAGUACUUAAGAAAGCUUCGAUCACUGCACCUAUUGUUCAGCCGCCUGAUUGGAAUUUACCUUUUGAAAUUAUGUGUGGUGCUAGUGAUUAUGCUGUAGGUGUUGUUCUAGGGCAAAGAGUCGAUAAGAAAUUGAAUGUUAUCCAGUAUGCUAGUAAGACUCUUGAUAUUGCCCAGAGGAAUUAUGCUACUACUGAAAAAGAGUUCUUAGCAGUUGUAUUUGCAUGUGAUAAGUUUAGACCUUAUGUUGUUGAUUCCAAAGUUACUAUUCACACUGAUCAUGCUGCUAUUAAAUAUCUUAUGGAAAAGAAAGAUGCUAAGCCUAGACUCAUUAGAUUGGUUCUCUUGCUCCAAGAAUUUGACUUGCAUAUUGUUGAUAGAAAGGGAGCUGAGAACCCCCUUGCAGAUAACUUGUCUAGGUUAGAGAAUGUUCUUGAUGACCCACUGCCUAUUAAUGAUAGCUUUCCUGAUGAACAAUUAGCGAUCGUCAAUGCUUCUCGUACUGCUCCUUGGUAUGCUGAUUAUGCUAAUUACAUUGUCGCUAAAUAUAUACCGCCUAGUUUCACAUACCAGCAAAAGAAAUAGUUCUUUUAUGAUUUAAGACAUUACUUCUGGGAUGAUCCACACCUUUAUAAAGAAGGAGUAGAUGGUGUUAUUAGACGUUGUGUGCCUGAGCAUGAACAAGAACAGAUUCUACGUAAGUGUCACUCUGAAUCUUAUGGAGGACACCACGUUGGAGAUAGAACUGCACACAAGGUACUACAAUCUGGUUUUUAUUGGCCUACUGUCUUCAAAGAUGCUCGUAAGUUUGUCUUAUCUUGUGAUGAAAGUCAAAGAAUAGGUAACAUUAGUAGACGUCAAGAAAUGCCUUUGAAUUAUUCUCUUGUUAUAGAACCGUUUGAUGUUUGGGGCUUUGAUUAUAUGGGACCUUUUCCUGCCUCUAAUGGUUAUACACAUAUUUUAGUUGCUGUUGAUUAUGUUACUAAGUGGGUAGAAGCUAUUCCAACUAGUAGUGCUGAUCAUAACACUUCUAUUAAAAUGCUUAAAGAAGUUAUUUUUCCGAGGUUUGGAGUCCCUAGAUAUCUUAUGACUGAUGGUGGUUCACAUUUUAUUCAUGGUGCUUUCCGUAAAAUGCUUGCUAAGUAUGAUGUCAAUCAUAGAAUCGCAUCUCCAUAUCAUCCGCGGUCUAGUGGUUAAGUAGAGUUGAGCAAUAGAGAGAUCAAAUUAAUUUUGCAAAAGACUGUGAAUAGAUCUAGAAAGAAUUGGUCCAAAAAACUUGAUGAUGCAUUAUGGGCCUAUAGAACUGCAUACAAAAAUCCUAUGGUAUGUCUCCUUAUAAGAUGGUUUAUGGAAAAGCGUGUCAUUUACCUCUUGAACUUGAACAUAAAGCAUACUGGGCUAUCAAAGAGCUCAAUUAUGACUUCAAACUUGCCGGUGAGAAGAGGUUAGUUGAUAUUAGCUCACUUGAUGAAUGGACAACCCAAGUGUAUGAGAAUGCCAAGCUAUUCAAAGAAAAAGUCAAACGCUGGCAUGAUAAGAGGAUACAAAAGCGUGAGUUUAACGUAGGAGAUUAUGUGUUAUUAUUCAACUCUCGUUUAAGAUUUUUUGCAGGAAAACUUCUCUCAAAAUGGGAAGGUCCCUACGUUAUCGAGGAUGUCUAUCGUUCUGGUGCUAUAAAAAUCAACAACUUCGAAGCCACAAAUCCGAGGGUGGUAAACGGUCAAAGAAUUAAACAUUAUAUUUCAGGUAAUCCUAUCAAUGUUGAAACUAAUAUUAUUGAAACCGUGACUCCUGAGGAAUACAUAAGGGACACUUACCAGAACGUUCCAGACUCCGAAAAGGCAUAGGUAUGUGGUACGGUAAGUAAACCGACUCCAAAACAACUCCAAUAGCAAUUUUUAAAAUGUUUUGGAAUAUUUAAGAAUUUUAGGAAGAAAGAAGUAGUCCGAAAGGGACACGAGGCUCCCACGAGAGUGGAGGGCGCGCCCCCUGUCUCGUGGGCACCUCGUGUGCCUCCCGGACUCUAUUUUCUUGCACGUUACGUAUUUUGGUCGGUAAAAAAUCAUUAUAUAUACUCCCGAAGGUUUUGACCACCGCAUCACGCAAAUAUCCUCUGUUUUUGUUUCGAGCUGUUUCCGUUGCAGAUUUAGAGCACCAUGACUUCACCCUCCUCCAACAACGAAGACAAGGAUGCUUGGCUUUUGAAGAUAGAGCUGAAAAGAGAAGAACCAGAAGAGAUCAACAAGGAUGAAGGGAUCAAGAAAGCCAUGGAGGUUCAAGCUCUGGCGGUGAAAGAAGAAGACAUCCCUCAAUCUUUACCUAACCUCUUUACUCCAACAGAGAUUGAAGCUUUCAAGAUGAUUGAGUUAGCUCGCAUACAGAACAAGUAUCUCACACAGGAGAAUAUUCUGUUGAAGGGUCAUAUUGCUGGGCUUAAGGGCAUUAUCCGCAAGUUGGAGGAACUUUUACCCUCAAUGUGCGAUUAUCCACCGUCAUCAUCACCACCUCCAUCACCUCCUAGUACAUAAUAACAUGGGUAUGGGCACUCCCCUCGGCAACUGCCAAGCUUGGGGGAGGUUCCCCGGUAUCGUAUCACCAUCACACUCCUAUCUUUACCGCUUUAUUUAGUUCGAUCUUUUUAGUAGUAUCUUGAGCUAGUAGAUUGAAGUUUCGAUAUCAAGUAGUUUCGAGUUUUGCUUUGUGAUCUCUUUUUGUAUUCGAGUCCGUGAGUUAUCUAUAAUAAAGAUUAGUGUUGAGUCAAGGGCUUUGCUAUGUUGCUAUGAUCUUGAGAAAGUAGAAAGAAUAAAAUAGUUCAUAUUGAUCUUAUGGAUAGUGAUAACUUCACACAUAGAAAGUAUGAGGCAUAAAAAUUGUUGAGAGUUGAUAAACUUAGCCUUGGUCAUCGUUGCAAUUAAUAGGAAGUGAUAAGGAAAGAGGGGUUCACAUAUAAAUAUAUUAUCUUGGACACAUUUUAUAGUUGUGAGCACUCAUUAGGUAUGACAUGCUAAAAGAGUUGACAUUGGACAACAAAGACAACGUAAUAGUUUAUGUUUUCCAACAUCUCAGUUAAAGUAUAUUGUCAUUGACCUUCCAAACAUGUUGAGCUUGCCUUUCCCCCUCAUGCUAGCCAAAUUCCUUGCACCAAGUAGAGAUACUACUUGUGCUUCCAAAUAUCCUUAAACCCAGUUUUGCCAUGAGAGUCCACCAUACCUACCUAUGGAUUGAGUAAGAUCCUUCAAGUAAGUUGUCAUCGGUGCAAGCAAUAAGAAUUGCUAUCUAAAUAUGUAUGACUUAUUAGUGCAGAGAAAAUAAGUAUUGUACGAACUUGUUGUGGAAGUAAUAAAAGCGACGGACUGCAUAAUAAAGGUCCACAUACAAGGGGCAAUAUAAAGUGACGCUCUUUUGCAUUAAGAUUUUGUGCAUGAACCCUAAACGCACAUGACAACCUCUGCUUCCCUCUGCGAAGGGCCUAUCUUUUACUUUAUGUUUUUACUUUAUGCUUGAGUCAAGGUGAUUCCCACCUUUCCAUUUUUCAUUUUAUCCUUUGGCAAGAUCCUCGUGUUUGAAAGAUCAUGAUAUAUAUAUCCAAUUGGAUGUAAGUUAGCAUGGGCUAUUAUUGUUGACAUCACCUAAAGGUGAAUACGUUGGGAGGCAACACAAUAAGCCCCUAUCUUUCUCAGUGUCCGGCUGAAAUUCCAUAACCACAAGUACUGCGUGAGUGUAAACAAUUGUGGAGGGCUACAAGAUAGUUGAGUAUGUGAACUUGCUGAAAAGCUCUAUUGUUGACUCUUUCUGAUGUUACGAUAAAUUGCAAUUGCUUCAAUGACUGAGAUUAUAGUUUGUUAGUUCCCGAUGAAGUUUUUGAACCAUACUUGACAUUGUGAAUUGGUUGUUACUUGAGCAUAAGAAAUCAUAUGUUAAAAUCUAUAUAUGUUGCUGUUACAAGAAUAAUCAUGAUUCCCUCAUGUCCGUAUUUUAUUUUUAUCGACACCUCUAUCUCUAAACAUGUGGACAUAUUUUUCAAUUUUGGCUUUCGCUUGAGGACAAGCGAGGUCUAAGCUUGGGGGAGUUGAUACAUCCAUUUUGCAUCAUGCUUUUAUAUCAAUAUUUAUUGCACUAUGGGCUGUUAUUACACAUUAAAUCUCAAUACUUAUGGCUAUUCUAUCUUAUUUUACAAGGUUUACCAUGAAGAGGGGGAAUGCCGGCAGCUGGAAUUCUGGCUGGAAAAGGAGCAAACGUUGAAAACCUAUUCUGCACAGCUCCAAAAGUCCUGAAACUCCACGAAACAACUUUUUGGAAUUAAUAAGAAUUUUUGAGCGAAAGAAAUAUGCCAGGGGGCCCACACCCUGUCCAGGAGACAGGGGCGCCCCCCCUAUAGGGCGCGCCCCCUAUCUCCUAGGCCCCCUGGUGGGCCUCCGGCGUCCAUCUUCUGCUAUAUCAUCACUUUUACC
Molecule: long non-coding RNA, 7029 nt
Filed under: Triticum aestivum (bread wheat)
Lineage: Eukaryota; Viridiplantae; Streptophyta; Magnoliopsida; Poales; Poaceae
Description: long non-coding RNA (TAES_LNC008180)
Source: RNAcentral